Molecule: ribosomal RNA, 497 nt
Filed under: uncultured bacterium
Lineage: Bacteria
Description: partial 16S ribosomal RNA
Rfam family: Bacterial small subunit ribosomal RNA
Source: RNAcentral
GAUGAACGCUGGCGGCGUGCCUAAUACAUGCAAGUCGAGCGAACAGAUGAGGAGCUUGCUCCUCUGACGUUAGCGGCGGACGGGUGAGUAACACGUGGAUAACCUACCUAUAAUACUGGGAUAAUUUCGGGAAACCGGAGCUAAUACCGGAUAAUAUAUUGAACCGCAUGGUUCAAUAGUGAAAGACGGUUUUGCUGUCACUUAUAGAUGGAUCCGCGCCGCAUUAGCUAGUUGGUAAGGUAACGGCUUACCAAGGCAACGAUGCGUAGCCGACCUGAGAGGGUGAUCGGCCACACUGGAACUGAGACACGGUCCAGACUCCUACGGGAGGCAGCAGUAGGGAAUCUUCCGCAAUGGGCGAAAGCCUGACGGAGCAACGCCGCGUGAGUGAUGAAGGUCUUCGGAUCGUAAAACUCUGUUAUUAGGGAAGAACAAAUGUGUAAGUAACUAUGCACGUCUUGACGGUACCUAAUCAGAAAGCCACGGCUAACUACGUG